CCUGACUGCUAUUGGAGUGGGACUAAGUCACGCUAGUCAAAGGUGCGGAAUGGAGCACCUGGCGUACGGCUCAGUAACACGUAGUCAACCUACCCUAAGGACGAGGACAACCACGGGAAACUGUGGCUAAUACUCGAUAAGAAAUUUGGCCUGGAACGGUAUCUUUCACAAAACCGGCUCGCCGUGAGACACGGGCCUUAGGAUGGGGCUGCGGCCGAUUAUGCUAGAUGGCGGUGUAAAGGACCACCAUGGCUACGAUCGGUAUGGGCGAUGGAAGUCGGAGCCCAGAGUCGGCUACUGAGACAAGGAGCCGAGCUUUACGAAGCUUAGCGGUCGCGAAAACUCGCCAAUGCACGAAAGUGUGAGUGGGCUACUCCAAGUGUCAUUCUUACGGAUGACUGUCGCACAGUCUUACCAGCUGUGAAAGGAAGGAGAGGGCAAGGCUGGUGCCAGCCGCCGCGGUAAAACCAGCUCUUCGAGUGGUCAGGACGAAUAUUGGGUCUAAAGCGCUCGUAGCCGGACAAGUAGGUUCUUGGUUAAACCCGACAGCAUAACUGUUGGUCUGCUGGGAAUACCGCUAGUCUUGGAAGCGGGAGAGGACAGAGGUAGUCAUGGGGCAGGGGUGAAAUCCAGUGAUCCCAUGGCGACCACCGAUGGCGAAGGCAUCUGUCUGGAACGUAUUCGACGGUGAGGGGCGAAAGCUAGGGGAGCGACCCGGAUUAGAUACCCGGUUAGUCCUAGCCGUAAACGAUGCGGACUAGGUGUUACGUUGGCCAAGAGCCACUGUAGUGCCACAGCGAAGGCGUUAAGUCCGCCACCUGGGGAGUACGGAUGCAAGUCUGAAACUUAA
RNAcentral lists this ribosomal RNA (850 nucleotides) under uncultured archaeon. Its description in RNAcentral is "bacterial SSU rRNA". It matches the Rfam family "Archaeal small subunit ribosomal RNA", at positions 21 to 859 of the family's 1478-position model. The record is from RNAcentral.